AGAGAGCAUGUCGGCUCCUUUUAUCCCUUCUACCAUUUACAAAUGUCACCGGCUUCCCUGCUUGAGUCAUUAAGGAAAAGUAAUUACUUUAAGCAUGAGUCACAGCACAUUGAAAAAAGCAAUUAAUAUCUUGACAUCUAAACACAGAAAGAAAUCUCUGACAAGAUCUUGGAGAAUGUCAGGGCAGUAUUUAUUGGGCAAUAAUAAUACCAAAGUUACCUUUUGGAUGGCGGAAUGUUGUUGCCUGCUGUGUCUCCAGAGAAGCAAUGUCCUGUCCACACUGGAUGCUUAGGAAGUAUCAUGGAGCAAGUGAGUGAACACAGGAGUGAAUGACAGUCUUCGAUCCUUGUGUCCCCACCAUUUCUCCACCUGCGGGUCUCAGUCUGGUUCCUGAAAAAAAAACUCAAGGCUGUUGACUUAAGAUAUUGACUGAAGUCAUUCUUCUGGCACCUCUGGCUCACAGCUGGGUCCCUAUGUGGCUUCACUUUGACCCGAAGUUCAUAUUGCUGUUGUGAGCCCACCUUGCCACGGUAUGGACAGCAGCCCCCUGGGACCUGUGCUGGUCUGGAGAUGUGAUCAUCG
RNAcentral lists this long non-coding RNA (582 nucleotides) under Heterocephalus glaber (naked mole-rat). Its description in RNAcentral is "lncRNA (ENSHGLG00100048769.1)". The record is from RNAcentral. Lineage: Eukaryota; Metazoa; Chordata; Mammalia; Rodentia; Bathyergidae.